Molecule: long non-coding RNA, 688 nt
Filed under: Vulpes vulpes (red fox)
Lineage: Eukaryota; Metazoa; Chordata; Mammalia; Carnivora; Canidae
Description: lncRNA (ENSVVUG00000022124.1)
Source: RNAcentral
GGAACUCAGUCUCCCCUCUAUUGUUAUUUUCUCAUUCAUCUGCUCAUGCAGUACUUGUUGAAUGUGAACCAUGUGCCAGGCAUGGCUGCAAGUGCUGAGGCUGAAAAGAUGGCCAUGACAAUCUCCCUGUGCCCUGGACCCUCAGAGUCCAGGGAGAGAGCCAAUGAGCAUGCAUUCCAGGACUCAAACCUGCAUUUCCAGAAGUAGCUACUGGAAAUUCAGUGGAAACCAACUAAAGACAAAACUGCCCUUUGGUUUGAAGAAAACAAGUUUUUGGGUCCAGACCUGAGGAAGACUCUGAGGCAAAUGGAAGGUUAACCACUUCAUAUAAGAAAGUAGAAGGAAGGAAAAGUUACAGAAUGGGACAGGGACAGGGCUCCAGUCUCAGCCAUCAGUGCCCUCGAGGUGGUGCCGCAGUUUGUCAACUGACCAGGAGAGAUAACAAAACCAAAUUACACCAGAAAGCCGGUCAGGAAAAUGAGGAGACCCCGAAAAGCAGCAUCUCUGAAAGGAGACAGCAUCGGUGCUGCUCACUCCAACCUUGACAGGUGCUGCUCAGUCCAUGGUUUUCGCCUAUUGGAAACUUCCAAAAGGCCUAAUAAGAUCUGUUCCUUUGUCUGACUUGCCAUGUGAAAUGCCCCAGGCAUGGGCCCUGAGCCCGAGGAGUGUUCACCCCCUUCCUUACGAG